RNAcentral lists this ribosomal RNA (223 nucleotides) under Candidatus Woesearchaeota archaeon. RNAcentral describes it as "partial 16S ribosomal RNA". It matches the Rfam family "Archaeal small subunit ribosomal RNA", at positions 1 to 221 of the family's 1478-position model. The record is from RNAcentral. Lineage: Archaea; Nanobdellati; Candidatus Woesearchaeota.
AGUGAGUUUCCGUUGAUCCUGCGGAAGAUUGCUGCUAUGGGAGUUCGAUUAAGCCAUGCAAGUCAGAGGGCUCGCAAGAGCACAGGCUGAAGGCUCAGCAACACGUCAAUAAUCUGCCCUUAGGCAGGGGAUACCCUUGGGAAACUGAGGUUAAGACCCUAUAGGUAAGAGAAACUGGAAUGUUCUUUUACUCAAAGGCAACGCCUAAGGAUGAGUUGGCGGC